RNAcentral lists this ribosomal RNA (119 nucleotides) under Pteropus alecto (black flying fox). Lineage: Eukaryota; Metazoa; Chordata; Mammalia; Chiroptera; Pteropodidae. The record is from RNAcentral.
GUCUACGGCCAUGCUACCGUGAACAAACUGGAUCCCGUCUGAUCUUGGAAACUAAACAGGGUCGGGCCUGGUUAGUACUUGGAUGGGAGACCACCUAGGAAGACCAGAUGCUGUAGGAA